AUGAUUCUAAACUCCAACAGUAACCUCACAUGAUGCAAAUUCAACUGUAGUAGAACUAAAAGGAGGUACAUGAUCAUUUGCAGGAUGAUCUGUCUCUGAUUGUUGCUCCAUGUCAGAAUUGUUUACAUGUGGAUAAUUGUUUUUCAUAGCAGAUUCUCUGUGCCUUCCAAGCUUUGGAGAUCUUGGGCGGGUUGUUGGUAUCUAAUUGAUAGGUGAAAUGCAUUACCAUAUAUAUGUAAGGAAGAAAAAUAUUAUUACAUUGAAAUUAUAAA
Medicago truncatula (barrel medic) is the source of this 272-nucleotide long non-coding RNA. RefSeq lists it as uncharacterized. The record is from RefSeq and is a predicted model, not a curated record. The transcript has 2 exons. NCBI's taxonomy places the organism in Eukaryota, Viridiplantae, Streptophyta, Magnoliopsida, Fabales, Fabaceae.